AGAAUCAACGCUGGCGGCGUGCCUAACACAUGCAAGUCGAACGAGAAAGUGGAGCAAUCCAUGAGUAAAGUGGCGCACGGGUGAGUAACACGUGACUAACCUACCCUUGAGUGGGGGAUAACCUAGGGAAACCUGGGCUAAUACCGCAUAAUACCUUCGGGUCAAAGGAGCAAUUCGCUUAAGGAGGGGGUCGCGGCCGAUUAGUUAGUUGGCGGGGUAAUGGCCCACCAAGGCGACGACGGGUAGCC
This 248-nucleotide ribosomal RNA is filed under the name uncultured bacterium. Its description in RNAcentral is "partial small subunit ribosomal RNA". It matches the Rfam family "Bacterial small subunit ribosomal RNA", at positions 26 to 288 of the family's 1533-position model. The record is from RNAcentral.